This 439-nucleotide ribosomal RNA is filed under the name uncultured bacterium. RNAcentral's name for it is "bacterial SSU rRNA". It matches the Rfam family "Bacterial small subunit ribosomal RNA", at positions 28 to 507 of the family's 1533-position model. The record is from RNAcentral.
GAUGAACGCUGGCGGUAUGCCUAACACAUGCAAGUCGUACGAGAGUUUUUAACUCUAGUGGCGGACGGGUGAGUAACACGUGAGAAUUUGCCUUUAGAGGGGGACAACAAUCGGAAACGAAUGCUAAUACCCCAUAUGCUUUCGAGUGAAAUGGAUUUUAUCCGCCUAGAGAGAAGCUCGCGGCUGAUUAGCUUGUUGGUAAGGUAAGAGCUUACCAAGGCGACGAUCAGUAUCUGGUUUGAGAGGACGAUCAGACACACUGGAACUGAGACACGGUCCAGACUCCUACGGGAGGCAGCAGUGGGGAAUUUUCCGCAAUGGGCGAAAGCCUGACGGAGCAAUACCGCGUGAGGGAAGAAUGCCUAUGGGUUGUAAACCUCUUUUUCAGGGAGGAAUCAAAUGACGUGUACCUGAAGAAUAAGCAUCGGCUAACUCCGUG